GUAGGUGGCAAGCGUUAUCCGGGAAUUAUUGGGGCGUAAAGCGCGCGCAGGCGGUUUCUUAAGUCAGAUGUGAAAGCCCACGGGCUCAACCGUGGAGGGUCAUUGGAAACUGGGGAACUUGAGUGCAGAAGAGAAAAGCGGAAUUCCACGUGUAGCGGUGAAAUGCGUAGAGAUGUGGAGGAACACCAGAGGCGAAGGCGGCUUUUUGGUCUGUAACUGACGCUGAGGCGCGAAAGCGUGGGGAGCAAACAGGAUUAGAUACCCUGGUAGUCCACGCCGUAAACGAUGAGUGCUAAGUGUUAGAGGGUUUCCGCCCUUUAGUGCUGCAGCUAACGCAUUAAGCACUCCGCCUGGGGAGUACGGUCGCAAAGACUG
RNAcentral lists this ribosomal RNA (375 nucleotides) under uncultured organism. RNAcentral's name for it is "partial 16S ribosomal RNA". It matches the Rfam family "Bacterial small subunit ribosomal RNA", at positions 527 to 896 of the family's 1533-position model. The record is from RNAcentral.